This 232-nucleotide long non-coding RNA is filed under the name Homo sapiens (human). RNAcentral describes it as "non-protein coding lnc-MSH3-2:1". Lineage: Eukaryota; Metazoa; Chordata; Mammalia; Primates; Hominidae. The record is from RNAcentral.
GUUGAGCUUGAACGCUUUCUUAAUUGGUGGCUGCUUUUAGCUGUUCUUAGGUAGCUCGUCUGGUUUCGGGGGUCUUAGCUUUGGUUCUCUUUGCAAAGUUAUUUCUAGUUAAUUCAUUAUGCAGAAGGUACAGGGGUUAGUCCUUGCUAUAUUAUGCUUGGUUAUAAUUUUUCAUCUUUCCCUUGCGGUACUAUAUCUAUUGCGCCGGUUUACAAUUUCUAUCGCCUAUACU